This 465-nucleotide ribosomal RNA is filed under the name uncultured Bacteroidota bacterium. RNAcentral describes it as "bacterial SSU rRNA". It matches the Rfam family "Bacterial small subunit ribosomal RNA", at positions 915 to 1382 of the family's 1533-position model. Lineage: Bacteria; Pseudomonadati; Bacteroidota. The record is from RNAcentral.
GGGGGCCCGCACAAGCGGAGGAGCAUGUGGUUUAAUUCGAUGAUACGCGAGGAACCUUACCUGGGCUUAAAUGCUUAAUGACGUACUGGGAAACUGGUAUUUCUUCGGACAUUUUGCAAGGUGCUGCAUGGUUGUCGUCAGCUCGUGCCGUGAGGUGUCGGGUUAAGUCCCGUAACGAGCGCAACCCCUAUUGUUAGUUGCCAUCAGGUCAUGCUGGGGACUCUAACAAAACUGCCCGCGUAAGCGUGGAGGAAGGUGGGGAUGACGUCAAAUCAGCACGGCCCUUACGUCCAGGGCUACACACGUGCUACAAUGGCCGGUACAGAGGGCAGCCACUUGGUGACAAGGAGCAAAUCUCAAAAGCCGGUCUCAGUUCGGAUCGGAGUCUGCAACUCGACUCCGUGAAGUUGGAUUCGCUAGUAAUCGUAGAUCAGCAAUGCUACGGUGAAUACGUUCCCGGGCCUU